This 314-nucleotide unclassified non-coding RNA is filed under the name Hevea brasiliensis (rubber tree). The record is from RNAcentral. Lineage: Eukaryota; Viridiplantae; Streptophyta; Magnoliopsida; Malpighiales; Euphorbiaceae.
CUUCCUUCCACCAUAUGUUCGCCUAAACCAAGUAUGAUGUUGAUUUUAAAAAUAAUUGUUUAAUAAAUGGACAGAUAGCAGGUAAUAUGAGAGGGAAACAUUAGUACCGUGGCCACAUGGAAAGCGAAGCAUAACAUUAAAAAUUAACUUGACAAAGCAAUGACACAACAGCUAGAUGUAAACAACAUUUCAACCCAUUUUUGUCACUUAUUUUUUUUUAUCCAUACCAAGUCAGAAAAGUAUCCACCACAAUAAUGUUUUAUCUCAAACCAUCAAAUUAAAAAAAUAAAAAAGUGCAAACGGGUCAAGAAAAG